This is a ribosomal RNA of 561 nucleotides. It matches the Rfam family "Eukaryotic large subunit ribosomal RNA", at positions 38 to 625 of the family's 3401-position model.
GCAUAUCAAUAAGCGGAGGAAAAGAAACCAACAGGGAUUGCCCUAGUAACGGCGAGUGAAGCGGCAACAGCUCAAAUUUGAAAUCUGGCCUCGGCCCGAGUUGUAAUUUGCAGAGGAAGCUUUAGGCGCGGCACCUUCUGAGUCCCCUGGAACGGGGCGCCAUAGAGGGUGAGAGCCCCGUAUAGUUGGAUGCCUAGCCUGUGUAAAGCUCCUUCGACGAGUCGAGUAGUUUGGGAAUGCUGCUCAAAAUGGGAGGUAAAUUUCUUCUAAAGCUAAAUACCGGCCAGAGACCGAUAGCGCACAAGUAGAGUGAUCGAAAGAUGAAAAGCACUUUGAAAAGAGGGUUAAAUAGCACGUGAAAUUGUUGAAAGGGAAGCGCUUGUGACCAGACUUGCGCCGGGCUGAUCAUCCGGUGUUCUCACCGGUGCACUCGGCCCGGCUCAGGCCAGCAUCGGUUCUCGCGGGGGGAUAAAGGCCCUGGGAACGUAGCUCCUCCGGGAGUGUUAUAGCCCAGGGCGUAAUGCCCUCGCGGGGACCGAGGUUCGCGCAUCUGCAAGGAUG